RNAcentral lists this microRNA precursor (66 nucleotides) under Bombyx mori (domestic silkworm). RNAcentral's name for it is "mir-2774 microRNA precursor family". It matches the Rfam family "mir-2774 microRNA precursor family". Lineage: Eukaryota; Metazoa; Arthropoda; Insecta; Lepidoptera; Bombycidae. The record is from Rfam by way of RNAcentral.
ACAACAUUUGGGAAGUCGGUCUACUGAGCAAUAUCACCCACUCGGUCGAAGAUCUUGCCUUGUCGU